CAUGAAUCUUCUUGCUUAACAUUGUUGGUUGGGCGUAAGAUUAGCUACUUGAACUUUUGCCCUCGACAACUACUACAUUAUGGUAGAACUCGAUUUCUUUGUCUUUAAAAAGUCUUUGACAGAUGGAUGAUUGAAUCCCAAGGAGGGACUUUUCGAUAGGAGAUUUCGAUCGUGGAAAAAUGUUACGGAAAUCACCUAAAAGUUCCAACUACAUGUUCAUCAUUGACAUUCCCUUGAUAAUACGAGAUUACACAUGUUCAUCAGUAACUUAUAUGUGAUUUCUCCAAAAAGGAGUCAAUAGAUGAGGAGAGAAAAUGGAUGGAGUUUGCCAAUUUGUUAGAGAUGGGCAAAGAAUAUACGAUUUCCACGACAUGCUACGUCUACAGGAAUGCCAAAUUAUGAAUGACGAAGUGGGUGGGAUUCGCUAAUUUGUUACAGCAUUUCUUGCCUGGAUUUGAGUUGGGCCUUGAAGAAAGCACAUGGCACACAUAUGUAUUCACAACUAUACUAUGGGGUGAGCAACUGCAGUCCAUAAAAUGGCUGCCUUAUCAGUCUGCCUUCUCGGACAUGGUUCAUCAGCCUCGACCUCGUAAAUUGUUG
This is a long non-coding RNA of Beta vulgaris subsp. vulgaris (sugar beet), 600 nucleotides long. RefSeq lists it as uncharacterized. The record is from RefSeq and is a predicted model, not a curated record. NCBI's taxonomy places the organism in Eukaryota, Viridiplantae, Streptophyta, Magnoliopsida, Caryophyllales, Amaranthaceae. The transcript is spliced from 3 exons.